RNAcentral lists this long non-coding RNA (639 nucleotides) under Marmota monax (woodchuck). The record is from RNAcentral. Lineage: Eukaryota; Metazoa; Chordata; Mammalia; Rodentia; Sciuridae.
GUAAAUAGUGCUGAUCUUGCUGCCUUGCUGAGAGAGAUAAGCUCUUAUUGUCCUUUUUAUCCAGAAAGUGGGACACUAAAUUUGAAGACUGGGAGAAAAUAGGUGAGACACACGAACUUCUAUUCCUGUGUACAGAUGCAAUUGAGAAACCCUCUAUUUAUCAACCUGCCUGCUCUUCUCCUUCUGUGUCUGGCUAUUUGGCCCCUUUAAGUCCCCUCUGCUCCCCCUGAAGUGGCGGCACAACGCUGGCCACUAUACUCUGCCCAGAGCCCUCCACGCAUGACUCCUCUAACUCACUGCCAUUGCCUCCGUGGCCAGCUGUGGAAGCCGCCCCGCCCCCAACUAGAUCCCAGUUAACUGAAUGUUGGGACAAGCUGUGGAGGAGGAGGGAGUCUCAUAACUUACCUGUCUGUCCUAUUAAGAUAAAUUCUGCUAACCAACCAAAAUAUGAACAGUUACCUUUUGCUGUAUUGAAAGAGUUACAACCUUUAAAUGAAAGGAAGAUACAAGGUUUGACUCUACUGUCAUUGAAACAUGUUUAUUAGUUACUGUAAAUAAGCCUAAAUUAGCUCUUUGUUUAAAUGAGCAGUCAAUUACAGGGUUAUUGGACACAAAUACUAAUGUCAUGGUGAUAAAUAC